This 468-nucleotide ribosomal RNA is filed under the name uncultured bacterium. RNAcentral's name for it is "partial 16S ribosomal RNA". It matches the Rfam family "Bacterial small subunit ribosomal RNA", at positions 28 to 507 of the family's 1533-position model. The record is from RNAcentral.
GACGAACGCUGGCGGCGUGCUUAAUACAUGCAAGUCGAACGGAAAGGCCCUGCUUUUGUGGGGUGCUCGAGUGGCGAACGGGUGAGUAACACGUGAGUAACCUGCCCUUGACUUUGGGAUAACUUCAGGAAACUGGGGCUAAUACCGGAUAGGAGCUCCUGCUGCAUGGUGGGGGUUGGAAAGUUUCGGCGGUUGGGGAUGGACUCGCGGCUUAUCAGCUUGUUGGUGGGGUUGUGGCUUACCAAGGCUUUGACGGGUAGCCGGCCUGAGAGGGUGACCGGCCACAUUGGGACUGAGAUACGGCCCAGACUCCUACGGGAGGCAGCAGGGGGGAAUAUUGCACAAUGGGCGGAAGCCUGAUGCAGCAACGCCGCGUGCGGGAUGACGGCCUUCGGGUUGUAAACCGCUUUCGCCUGUGACGAAGCGUGAGUGACGGUAAUGGGUAAAGAAGCACCGGCUAACUACGUG